Molecule: ribosomal RNA, 540 nt
Filed under: uncultured bacterium
Lineage: Bacteria
Description: partial 16S ribosomal RNA
Rfam family: Bacterial small subunit ribosomal RNA
Source: RNAcentral
UGGGGAAUUUUGGACAAUGGGCGAAAGCCUGAUCCAGCAAUGCCGCGUGUGUGAAGAAGGCCUUCGGGUUGUAAAGCACUUUUGUCCGGAAAGAAAUCCUUGGCUCUAAUACAGUCGGGGGUGACGGUACCGGAAGAAUAAGCACCGGCUAACUACGUGCCAGCAGCCGCGGUAAUACGUAGGGUGCAAGCGUUAAUCGGAAUUACUGGGCGUAAAGCGUGCGCAGGCGGUUUGCUAAGACCGAUGUGAAAUCCCCGGGCUCAACCUGGGAACUGCAUUGGUGACUGGCAGGCUAGAGUAUGGCAGAGGGGGGUAGAAUUCCACGUGUAGCAGUGAAAUGCGUAGAGAUGUGGAGGAAUACCGAUGGCGAAGGCAGCCCCCUGGGCCAAUACUGACGCUCAUGCACGAAAGCGUGGGGAGCAAACAGGAUUAGAUACCCUGGUAGUCCACGCCCUAAACGAUGUCAACUAGUUGUUGGGGAUUCAUUUCCUUAGUAACGUAGCUAACGCGUGAAGUUGACCGCCUGGGGAGUACGGUCGC